Molecule: transfer RNA, 85 nt
Filed under: Felis catus (domestic cat)
Lineage: Eukaryota; Metazoa; Chordata; Mammalia; Carnivora; Felidae
Also listed under: 2 other names
Rfam family: tRNA
About the family: Transfer RNA (tRNA) molecules are approximately 80 nucleotides in length. Their secondary structure includes four short double-helical elements and three loops (D, anti-codon, and T loops).
Source: Rfam by way of RNAcentral
GUCUGGGUGGCUCAGUCUGUUGAGCAUCUGACUUUGGCUCAGGUCAUGAUCUCACAGUUCAUGGGUUCGAGCCCCAUGUCAGGCU